UCAACCUGGUCCCAGAUCUGUUUUCCAAUCCCUCCUAGUUUAGCCUGAAAUUCCAAGAAGAUUUACUUAGGUCUGAUUGGCAUUAAGAAUGAGUUGCGGGGAGGGUUCAGCUUCAUAAAGGAGCACUGUGAAGGAAGCAAUAACAUACGCCAGUAACAGAGAAGAUGGGAAAUGAGAUUAAAAUGUUCCUGUCUUUCCCCAUCAGGCCUGUGUAACUGUGUCCAGGAGACCGAUGACGCCUUCGACUGGGUCCACUCCCAAGGCCUGCAGGUGGACCAGCCAUGGAAUGGACCGCUGUACGACCACACGGUCGGAAAUGACAAAGGUACUGUUCUGGACCUGAAGAGCUAGCUACUGUCAUGGACGUUUUACACAGGGACAUUCCAAAUACAUUUUUAAAUCAAACAUUGUUUAUUAUCAGCAUGCUGGAGAGGUCACUGUCAAACUUAGAUGCAUAAAGUACCGGUCUGAAGUGAGCUUCCCCCACGGGGCAGUCCCGUUAGAUCUCUUUAUAUACUGGUUACACGUUACAUAGGCAUAGUUCAUAGGGUUGGUUCCGUCAUGCGUCUGGCACCGUCUCCUACAUAUUCUGGCCGUUCUGCCAGAUGGUCCAAAGCAGGGGGUCAUGUCGCCUUGUGCGUCUGCCACAAGUGUCACUCAAAGUGGCGAAGACUGUCAUUUAAUAAAUGGCUGCUUUGUGUCCUGUGUGUGUGACAGGGUUUUACCUGAUGGUGAAUAUGUCUGGUAGCGUGGACGGUGAGACCGCGGUCGUCUCUGUUCCUCUUCCGUUCCAAACCACGGACCUCUGCGUUGGCUUCUGGUAUUACAUGUUGGGACCCUCUGUGUCCAACCUGGACCUCUUAGUGCAGACGAAAACAUCAAGAACUGUGGUGUGGACUCGCCAAGGCAGCCAGGAUUCAGAGUGGAUGAAUGCACAGGUUCAACUCGGCAUAGUAGACACACAGGAGGUAUGCGCGCACGCGCACACACACACACACACACACACAGUGGUAAUGAGGGCUCAGAACAGGGCAGCACGGCUGACCCUUGGAUGUACACAGAGAGCUAAUAUUAAUAAUAUGCAUGUCAAUCUCUCCUGGUUCAAAGUAGAGGAAGAUAUUGACUUCAUCAAUACUUGUAUAUGUGAGAGGUUUACCUGA
Molecule: long non-coding RNA, 1160 nt
Filed under: Oncorhynchus mykiss (rainbow trout)
Lineage: Eukaryota; Metazoa; Chordata; Actinopteri; Salmoniformes; Salmonidae
Description: lncRNA (ENSOMYG00000049868.1)
Source: RNAcentral